UGAGACAGAGAUCCACUUCAUCCUUCCAACAGGCAAGCAAGUCCAGUGGAAUUGUACCCUUCCAGUGUCCUACUGCAAAGCAGACCUUGAUGAAUCUUCGGAUGCUGCAGACUAUCUUCCAGACUCAUGUGGCAAUUCCUCGGAUGCUUCUAUUAUAAGUACUACAAGUUCUUGUAGUAAGGAAUAUAAAACCACAGAAAAGAAUCUCCACCACAAAUUGUCAGAGAACACACCAUUAGGGAAUGUUACAGCACACAGUGGGGAUAGUACCACCAGUUCAGAGAAGCCAAGAACAUUAAGUUAUUCCAAGCCAUCCUUGUACUUCAGUAAUAAGCUGUAGUGCCAAUUCAUCAGAGAACACAUCACACCAGAAAAGCUCCAUAAAUGUCACAUGUUUGUCAAUAACAGCAAAAGGAAGCAAGUACAACAAGAAGCAAUUUUGUCUUUAUUGUAAAAAGGCCAUUUAUAAAUUGGCAAGACACCUCGAAUCCAUCCACAGUGAAAAGCAUGAUGUUGCAAUGGCUUUCAGUUUUAAUAAAGGAUCCCACAAAAGAAGAGAGUUGUUACGCUCUCUUAAGAAGAGAUGAAACUUUGAACAUAAUACUGAAGUGGCAAGCUGUGGCACUGGAGAGAUGGUUGCC
Molecule: long non-coding RNA, 641 nt
Organism: Coregonus clupeaformis (lake whitefish)
Lineage: Eukaryota; Metazoa; Chordata; Actinopteri; Salmoniformes; Salmonidae
Exons: 3
Source: RefSeq, a predicted model, not a curated record